AGGAACCAUGGCUCACUGGAGCACCAUCUUUGGAGUCUAGCUAACACAGCAUCUUGGAUGCACUCCUAAGAGAAGACUACCUGAAAGGCGUGUACACUGGUCUAGCAGUUGAGAUCAGCUAGUGUUCCAUCUAUCUUCUGUCAUGUAUCUCUUCUAAGAUGUCUUGAUCGACUGACCCCAAAGCCAGAGGGUACCAGGUCAAAAAGCAAGAAAACAAACAAUACUGACAUUAGAGAGAAGCAAAGUUUCUAUAGAAAACCUAUUACACUGUGGUAUAAAUCAAGAUGAACCUGCAGACAUCUAUUUUAGUUUGGAAGUCUGGAAAAGUUCAAGAUUGGCCAUCUGCAGCUGGUGAGAGCCUCAGGCUGCUUCCCCUCAUGGUGGAAGGUGAAGGGGAGCUGGUGUGUGCAGAGAUUACAUGCUUUUCUAGGUCAUCAUUCUAGGCUUUGUUGAAGCAUGCAUUUUUGGCAUGAGGGUGGCAGCCUUUGCACUAUGUGCAUGGCUGAGGAGUUAGGAUCUGGAGGGUGAUGAAAGCAAAGGUGCUGCUGGUUACUCUUGGUUCAUCUAGCAAUAGAUGAUCUGAAUGUUAGAGUUCGCCAAAUAUUGUUCCUGGGCAGUCUUUGCUCUACCAAAUCAACUUUCUCCAUGGGGGAGCUAGAAGUCACCCCACAUUCUCCGCCAUGGCCAGCUCUACAUUCUAAGAGAACCAAUGGCUCUACCCAACAUAUUCUUCUCACCACAGAUGACAAAGACACAAGGAGCCAAGACAGAUCAUUCAAGCAUAUUCAUUGCCUCUAUCUUCAUCCCAUUAAAUAACAUCCCGCCAACCAAAGCAAGUUAUCUGCAUAAGAAUAAAUAUUCCACCUACUCUACUGCAAGGCCCUGCAAGAGUCAUGAGACAAAAGGAUCCUCUGUGGACAGCACCCAAGAUGGAAACAACUGACAGUCUAUGGCCAGGGCUAUACUCUGGUGAAACUGAAAGGUGUCUGCAUGGAAGUGUCUGACUACCACCAUCCACUCAGGCAAAUGCAUUUGUUUCCCUCUAUUCAUUAUUAGAAGAGAGGAGAUUACAUACCAGACAUAUACCAAUAGAGAUGGGGUUUCAUCAUGUUGACCAGGCUGGUCUUGCCCUCCCGACCACAGGUGAUCUGCCCGCCUGAGCCUCCCAAAGUGCUGGGAUUACAGGCAUGAGCCACCACGCCUGUCCAAAACUUCUUGACUUAAUAAAGAAAGAAAGAAAGAAAAAAAAAAAAAAUCCUGUGCAGAGGUUGCUAAGAACCUUGGUAAGAAUCUUCUAUCUAUAAAAUUGUGAAGAAGAAUAAAAAAAUUUUUG
Molecule: long non-coding RNA, 1333 nt
Filed under: Homo sapiens (human)
Lineage: Eukaryota; Metazoa; Chordata; Mammalia; Primates; Hominidae
Description: long intergenic non-protein coding RNA 2465
Source: RNAcentral